Molecule: long non-coding RNA, 900 nt
Organism: Pezoporus flaviventris
Lineage: Eukaryota; Metazoa; Chordata; Aves; Psittaciformes; Psittacidae
Exons: 4
Source: RefSeq, a predicted model, not a curated record
CAGUUGUUGAACCGGAUGCAAUCAUACACUGAAAACAAGUAAUGUCGGCUGAUAAAAAUAGCUGUAUUAACUCUUUAUCUACCUUAGCAUUUACUUCCACGAGUGUAGACAUUAGCAUGUGUUUCCAUGGGGUGUGCAGUUGCAGUUGUGCCUCAAAUGCCAUGGAGUAGCUGACUGCAUGGAGGGUAAAACACCUAUAUCCAAUCCCAUACCCGUUCCCACUCCCCUUCUUCACAUCUGAGGGAGGGGAUGGCAGAAGGCACAGCUUCCUGCCCUUAGUGACUAGAGCAUCAUCCUACCAGCAAAUCCCAGCUGCCCUCUAUAUCCCUCUAGCUGCCAGGUCUCAGAUUUCCCCCAGACAGCGUGAUGGUGGUGUGCAUUAUCAGCUCUUCUGUCUUUGCCUGGAGUUUGAGGACAAUGUAACAGCAGUUGAACUUGGUAUCACAACAAAUAAAUAGGAGAGGAUCCAGGUCCUUCAGUGUCUUCUGUGGGAGGAACAUACCCCACAUGGCAUCUUCUGUGGCUAAGUAACAGGCUCCAGCAAGGAGCAGAGCUUGGCUUCUCUCAAAGAAGAUGCUGGAUGAGGCCCCUCUCAAUCUAGGAAUCUUCCACUUCAAGGCUCAGAAAGAGGAAGGGAAAUUCUGAAUUCCGUGCCCAGAAAGGUCAAGAGCAGCAAAUGAGAAGAAAGAAAAUGAGCUCCAAGCUGAAGGCUCCCUCCAAGAAUGCCCUGGCUGAGGCAGGAAAUGAAUAGCACCAUCAUAGCAGGCUACAGCCCCUUAAGGGGCUGAGCAGAAGUCUAAAAGGGGUGCCUUGCAGACAUGUUAUGAGGACCUCUGCCUCCAGAAACAAACUUGAAAAAGCACUCAGCUGGCUCUGCUACAGCAUACAGGAACAGGGGCA